Molecule: ribosomal RNA, 292 nt
Filed under: uncultured bacterium
Lineage: Bacteria
Description: partial 16S ribosomal RNA
Rfam family: Bacterial small subunit ribosomal RNA
Source: RNAcentral
GUGCCAGCAGCCGCGGUAAUACGGGGGGUGCAAGCGUUACUCGGAAUCACUGGGCGUAAAGGGAGCGUAGGCGUUCUAUUAAGUCUUGAGUGAAAGCCCGCAGCCUAACUGCGGAACUGCUCAGGAAACUGAUAGAAUUGAGUAUGGAAGAGGUCAGUGGAAUUUCCAGUGUAGGGGUAAAAUCCGUAGAUAUUGGAAGGAAUACCAGAAGCGAAGGCGACUGACUGGGACAUUACUGACGCUGAGGCUCGAAAGCGUGGGGAGCAAACAGGAUUAGAAACCCGGGUAGUCC